ACUCCUACGGGAGGCAGCAGUGGGGAAUAUUGCACAAUGGGGGAAACCCUGAUGCAGCGACGCCGCGUGAGCGAUGAAGUAUUUCGGUAUGUAAAGCUCUAUCAGCAGGGAAGAAAAUGACGGUACCU
Molecule: ribosomal RNA, 128 nt
Filed under: uncultured Parabacteroides sp.
Lineage: Bacteria; Pseudomonadati; Bacteroidota; Bacteroidia; Bacteroidales; Tannerellaceae
Description: partial 16S ribosomal RNA
Rfam family: Bacterial small subunit ribosomal RNA
Source: RNAcentral